AAAACAACCAGUUUGAUGGUUCCUGUAAGAAAUUUACUACAAUAAGGGUUUGAUUUUGACGAGUCUAAAGGUUUAUUGAUUAGUUUUUCAAACUAUUUUUUUUUUCAUUUUUGUAGUUUGUUUAUUCAGCGUACAAUAAUUUAUGUUUUCCCAAACAUAACUUGGAUUAAAAGUUGUACAUGGCUAUAAUUCAAUCAGUAGACUUUUCGGACUUAGUACAUAAUAUUUUUGGAGAGGUUGGUUGUAUGUAAUAUAGACUAGGUAAUUUUUAGAAAUUACUGAAUGUGUUUUGAUCUAAAACCAGACCAAAGAAAAAUUCACAUGCAAUACCUAUAAGAUUCUAUCAAUGCACCAUACUAUCAAAAAAUAUCAAUGGGGCAUUCCGAGAAUCGAUCUCGGGACCUCUCGCACCCAAAGCGAGAAUCAUACCACUAGACCAAAUCCCCGAUUGCUAAGCAUAUUAGAUGCGUGGUUGAAGGUCACAGUAUUGGCCCUUUGUGAGCAUGUUCUCUUAGUUGCUUUAGCCAAAUAAUGAAGGUUGAAUAUGGUAUUCCGAAAUCUGUGCGACCAUUUUCUUAGAUUUUACAAGCCUUUGGAGACAAGAAAAAACAACCAGUUUGAUGGUUCCUGUGAGAAAGUUACUACAAUAAGGGUUUGCUUUUGACGAGUCUUAAAGUUUAACGGGUAGUUUUUCAAACUAUUUUUUUUUUUUAAUUUUUGAAGAUCGUUUACUCAGUGUACAAUAUUUUAUGUUUUCCCAAACAUAAAUAGGAUUAAAAGUUGUACAUGGCUAUAGUUCAAUCAGUUGAUUUUUCGGACUUAGUAGAUAUUGUUGUUGGAGAGGUUGGUUGUAUGUAAUAUAGACUAGGUAAUUUUUAGAAAUUACUGAAU
RNAcentral lists this long non-coding RNA (891 nucleotides) under Brassica napus (rape). RNAcentral's name for it is "long non-coding RNA (BNAP_LNC026150)". Lineage: Eukaryota; Viridiplantae; Streptophyta; Magnoliopsida; Brassicales; Brassicaceae. The record is from RNAcentral.